Molecule: long non-coding RNA, 1339 nt
Filed under: Homo sapiens (human)
Lineage: Eukaryota; Metazoa; Chordata; Mammalia; Primates; Hominidae
Description: non-protein coding lnc-ZNF25-9:5
Source: RNAcentral
GGAGUUACACUGUUUGUGAUAUGGUACAUGACCUGGUCAAUCUUAGGCUCUGAAGCUCUCCCUGGUGGAAAUUUAUUUGGAUUGUUAAUUAUUUUUUAUAGUGCCAUUAUUGGGGGAAAAAAUUUACAACUCAUUAGAAUACCUUUAGUGCCGCCAUUUCCACCUCUUCUUGGGAUGUUACUGGCUGGUUUUACAAUUAGGAAUGUUCCAUUCAUCAAUGAACAUGUCCAUGUUCCUAACGCAUGGUCUUCAAUUUUAAGAAGCAUUGCCCUUAACAUUAUUCUAAUACGAGCUGGGCUUGGACUCGAUCCACAGGCUUGGAGGCAUUUGAAGGUGGUUUGUUUCAGAUUGGCUGUAGGUCCAUGCCUUAUGGAGGCAAGUGCAGCUGCUGUUUUUUCCCACUUCAUUAUGAAAUUUCCCUGGCAAUGGGCAAUUCUAUUAGGUUUUGUUUUAGGUGCUGUCUCUCCUGUUGUUGUUGUCCUUUACAUGAUGGUGUUGCAAGAAAAUGGAUAUGGUGUUGAGGAAGACAUUCCAACCUACUAAUGGCUGCUAGCAGUAUGGAUGACAUUCUGGCUAUCACUGGAUUCAAUACAUGCUUGAGCAUAGUCUUCUUCUCGGGUGUAGCCUCCAUCUUUCACCCAGGCUGGAGUGUGGUGGCAUGAUCUCAGCUCACUGCAACCUCUGCCUCCCAGGUUCAAGUGAUUCUCCUCCCUCAGCCUCCUGAGUACCUGGGACUACAGUGGUAAGCUUAAUAACGCCAUAGCCUCUAUAAGGAACGUAUGUAUUAGUCGGCUGGCAGGAAUUGUUUUGGGAUUUUUUGUUUGAUAUUUUCCAAGUGAAGACCAAAAAAACUUACAUUGAAGAGAGGAUUCCUUGUUUUGACUACGUGUGUUUCUGCUGUCUUAGGCAGCCAACGUAUUGGUUUACAUGGAUCUGGAGGAUUAUGCACAUUAGUGUUGAGUUUCAUUGCAGGGACAAAAUGGUCCCAAGAAAAGAUGAAAGUCCAAAAGAUUAUUACAAAUGUAUGGGAUAUUUUUCAACCACUUCUUUUUGGUUUAGUUGGAGCAGAAGUAUCUGUUUCAUCGCUUGAAUCAAAUAUUGUUGCAUAUCUGUUGCCACUCUGAGUUUGGCAUUAUGUGUUCGAAUUUUAACCACAUAUCUAUUGAUGUGCUUUGCUGGUUUUAGUUUUAAGGAGAAAAUAUUUAUUGCUUUAGCAUGGAUGCCCAAAGCUACAGUACAGAUAUGGGGUCUCACCAUGUUGGCCAGGCUAGUCUCAAACUCCUGACCUCAAGUGAUCUGCCUGCCUCAGCCUCCCAAAGUGCUGGGAUUACAGGCAUGA